This 1403-nucleotide ribosomal RNA is filed under the name Mycoplasma sp. RNAcentral describes it as "bacterial SSU rRNA". It matches the Rfam family "Bacterial small subunit ribosomal RNA". The record is from RNAcentral. Lineage: Bacteria; Bacillati; Mycoplasmatota; Mollicutes; Mycoplasmatales; Mycoplasmataceae.
CUAUACAUGCAUGUCGAGCGAUGCUAGCAUAUAGCAUAGUCGGCGACAUGGUGUGAGUAACACGUACUCAACGUACCUUUUAGUUUGGCAUAGCGAAUGGAAACGUUCGAUAAUUCCAAAUACUUAUUUUUAUCGCAUGAUACUAAUAUAAAAGAAGCUUCAAAGCUUCGCUAAAAGAUCGGGGUGCGUAACAUUAGCUUGUUGGUGAGGUAACGGCUCACCAAGGCGAUGAUGUUUAGCGGGGUUGAGAGACUGAACCGCCACACUGGGACUGAGAUACGGCCCAGACUCCUACGGGAGGCAGCAGUAGGGAAUAUUCCACAAUGAGCGAAAGCUUGAUGGAGCGACACAGCGUGCAGGAUGAAGGCCCCAUGGGUUGUAAACUGCUGUGGUAAGGGAAGAAAAAGUAGUGUAGGAAAUGACAUUACCUUGACGGUACCUUAUUAGAAAGCAACGGCUAACUAUGUGCCAGCAGCCGCGGUAAUACAUAGGUUGCAAGCGUUAUCCGAAAUUAUUGGGCGUAAAGCGUCUGUAGGUUGUUUGUUAAGUCUGGCGUUAAAUUUUGGGGCUCAACCCCAAACCGCGUUGGAUACUGGCAAGCUAGAGUUAUGUAGAGGUUAGCGGAAUUCCUUGUGAAGCGGUGAAAUGCGUAGAUAUAAGGAAGAACACCAUUAUGGCGAAGGCGGCUAACUGGACAUACACUGACACUGAGAGACGAAAGCGUGGGGAGCAAACAGGAUUAGAUACCCUGGUAGUCCACGCCCUAAACGAUGAUGAUUAGCUGAUGGAUAGUUCAUUGGCGCAGCUAACGCAUUAAAUCAUCCGCCUGAGUAGUACGUUCGCAAGAAUAAAACUUAAAGGAAUUGACGGGGAUCCGCACAAGCGGUGGAGCAUGUGGUUUAAUUUGAAGAUACGCGUAGAACCUUACCCACUCUUGACAUCUUCCGCAAAGCUAUGGAGACAUAGUAGAGGUUAACGGAAUGACAGAUGGUGCAUGGUUGUCGUCAGCUCGUGUCGUGAGAUGUUCGGUUAAGUCCUGCAACGAGCGCAACCCUUAUCCUUAGUUACUACCAUUUAGUUGAGAACUCUAAGGAGACUGCCGGAGUAAUCCGGAGGAAGGUGGGGACGACGUCAAAUCAUCAUGCCUCUUACGAGUGGGGCUACACACGUGCUACAAUGGACGGUACAAAGAGAAGCAAAGUGGUGACAUGGAGCAAAUCUCAAAAAACCGUUCUCAGUUCGGAUUGAAGUCUGCAACUCGACUUCAUGAAGUUGGAAUCGCUAGUAAUCGUAGAUCAGCUACGCUACGGUGAAUACGUUCUCGGGUCUUGUACACACCGCCCGUCAAACCAUGGGAGCUGGUAAUGCCCGAAGUCGGUUUAUUUAAGCAAACCGCCUAAGGC